UACGGAGGGUGCAAGCGUUAUCCGGAUUCACUGGGUUUAAAGGGUGCGUAGGUGGGAAUGUAAGUCAGUGGUGAAAUCUCCGUGCUUAACACGGAAACUGCCAUUGAUACUAGGUUUCUUGAAUUUUCUGGAGGUUAGCGGAAUAUGUCAUGUAGCGGUGAAAUGCUUAGAUAUGACAUAGAACACCAAUUGCGAAGGCAGCUAACUACAGGGAUAUUGACACUGAGGCACGAAAGCGUGGGGAUCAAACAGG
Molecule: ribosomal RNA, 253 nt
Filed under: uncultured bacterium
Lineage: Bacteria
Description: partial 16S ribosomal RNA
Rfam family: Bacterial small subunit ribosomal RNA
Source: RNAcentral